GUUGCGUUCCUCUUCUUGCUAGCCAUCAACUCAGGAGUCCAUCCACAGAAUUCAAGAAGAAUCAAAGCCUUAUCCGUAGAUUCCAGGAACAUUUUCAGUUCCUCCUGAGUCUUCAGAACCUUGAGGGGAAUUUCAUCAGGCGAAACAGACAUGUAAGGAAGAAUAGAAGAGAGUAUAUUUCCAGCAAUAAGUUUGCCUUGAUACUUGUA
This 209-nucleotide unclassified non-coding RNA is filed under the name Hevea brasiliensis (rubber tree). The record is from RNAcentral. Lineage: Eukaryota; Viridiplantae; Streptophyta; Magnoliopsida; Malpighiales; Euphorbiaceae.